Molecule: ribosomal RNA, 253 nt
Filed under: uncultured bacterium
Lineage: Bacteria
Description: partial 16S ribosomal RNA
Rfam family: Bacterial small subunit ribosomal RNA
Source: RNAcentral
GACGAACCGUGCGAACGUUGUUCGGAUUCACUGGGCUUAAAGGGCGCGUAGGCGGGUGGCCAAGUCAGGGGUGAAAUCUUUCAGCUCAACUCCAGAACUGCCUUUGAUACUGAAGAUCUUGAGUUCGGGAGAGGUGAGUGGAACUGCGAGUGUAGAGGUGAAAUUCGUAGAUAUUCGCAAGAACACCAGUGGCGAAGGCGGCUCACUGGCCCGAUACUGACGCUGAGGCACGAAAGCGUGGGGAGCAAACAGG